RNAcentral lists this ribosomal RNA (708 nucleotides) under Salmonella enterica subsp. enterica serovar Typhimurium. Its description in RNAcentral is "bacterial LSU rRNA". It matches the Rfam family "Bacterial large subunit ribosomal RNA", at positions 504 to 1211 of the family's 2925-position model. Lineage: Bacteria; Pseudomonadati; Pseudomonadota; Gammaproteobacteria; Enterobacterales; Enterobacteriaceae. The record is from RNAcentral.
UGAGGGAAAGGCGAAAAGAACCCCGGCGAGGGGAGUGAAAAAGAACCUGAAACCGUGUACGUACAAGCAGUGGGAGCACAGGUUUACCUGUGUGACUGCGUACCUUUUGUAUAAUGGGUCAGCGACUUAUAUUCUGUAGCAAGGUUAACCGUAUAGGGGAGCCGGAGGGAAACCGAGUCUUAAUUGGGCGUUAAGUUGCAGGGUAUAGACCCGAAACCCGGUGAUCUAGCCAUGGGCAGGUUGAAGGUUGGGUAACACUAACUGGAGGACCGAACCGACUAAUGUUGAAAAAUUAGCGGAUGACCUGUGGCUGGGGGUGAAAGGCCAAUCAAACCGGGAGAUAGCUGGUUCUCCCCGAAAGCUAUUUAGGUAGCGCCUCGUGAAUUCAUCUCCGGGGGUAGAGCACUGUUUCGGCUAGGGGGCCAUCCCGGCUUACCAACCCGAUGCAAACUGCGAAUACCGGAGAAUGUUAUCACGGGAGACACACGGCGGGUGCUAACGUCCGUCGUGAAGAGGGAAACAACCCAGACCGCCAGCUAAGGUCCCAAAGUCAUGGUUAAGUGGGAAACGAUGUGGGAAGGCCCAGACAGCCAGGAUGUUGGCUUAGAAGCAGCCAUCAUUUAAAGAAAGCGUAAUAGCUCACUGGUCGAGUCGGCCUGCGCGGAAGAUGUAACGGGGCUAAACCAUGCACCGAAGCUGCGGCAGCGA